Molecule: ribosomal RNA, 1493 nt
Filed under: metagenome
Description: bacterial SSU rRNA
Rfam family: Bacterial small subunit ribosomal RNA
Source: RNAcentral
AGAGUUUGAUCCUGGCUCAGAUUGAACGCUGGCGGCAUGCCUUACACAUGCAAGUCGAACGGUAGAGUAGCAAUACUCGAGAGUGGCGAACGGGUGAGUAAUAUAUCGGAACGUGCCCAGUCGUGGGGGAUAACGUAGAGAAAUUUACGCUAAUACCGCAUACGAUCUAAGGAUGAAAGCGGGGGAUCGCAAGACCUCGCGCGAUUGGAGCGGCUGAUAUCAGAUUAGGUUGUUGGUGAGGUAAAAGCUCACCAAGCCGACGAUCUGUAGCUGGUUUGAGAGAACGACCAGCCACACUGGGACUGAGACACGGCCCAGACUCCUACGGGAGGCAGCAGUGGGGAAUUUUGGACAAUGGGCGAAAGCCUGAUCCAGCAAUGCCGCGUGCAGGAAGAAGGCCUUCGGGUUGUAAACUGCUUUUGUACGGAACGAAACGGCUCUUUCUAAUAAAGAGGGCUAAUGACGGUACCGUAAGAAUAAGCACCGGCUAACUACGUGCCAGCAGCCGCGGUAAUACGUAGGGUGCGAGCGUUAAUCGGAAUUACUGGGCGUAAAGCGCGCGUAGGCGGCGUAACAAGUCAGAGGUGAAAUGCCAGGGCUCAACCCUGGAACUGCCUUUGAAACUGUUAUGCUAGAGUGUCGGAGGGGAUAGCGGAAUUGCUAAUGUAGAGGUGAAAUUCGUAGAUAUUAGCAGGAACACCGGUGGCGAAGGCGGCUAUCUGGACGACAACUGACGCUUAGGCGCGAAAGCGCGGGGAUCAAACAGGAUUAGAUACCCUGGUAGUCCGCGCUGUAAACGAUGGAUGCUAGCCGUUGGGGGGUUACCCCUCAGUGGCGUAGCUAACGCGUUAAGCAUCCCGCCUGGGGAGUACGGUCGCAAGAUUAAAACUCAAAGGAAUUGACGGGGACCCGCACAAGCGGUGGAACAUGUGGUUUAAUUCGAGGCAACGCGAAGAACCUUACCAGGGUUUGACAUGCUCUCUAUGAAUCUCUGAAAGGAGAUUCUUCACUUCGGGUGGGAGAUGCACAGGUGCUGCAUGGCUGUCGUCAGCUCGUGUCGUGAGAUGUUGGGUUAAGUCCCGCAACGAGCGCAACCCUCAUCCUCUGUUGCUAACAGGUUAUGCUGAGCACUCUGAGGAAACUGCCGGUGAUAAGCCGGAGGAAGGUGGGGAUGACGUCAAGUCCUCAUGGCCCUUACAUCCUGGGCUACACACGUGUUACAAUGGUGGUGACAAUGGGUCGCUAACCCGCAAGGGUAUGCUAAUCUCCAAAAGCCACCUCAGUUCAGAUUGCACUCUGCAACUCGAGUGCAUGAAGCUGGAAUCGCUAGUAAUCGUAGAUCAGCACGCUACGGUGAAUACGUUCCCGGGUCUUGUACACACCGCCCGUCACACCAUGGGAGUUGGUUCUACCUUAAGCCGCCCUUAAAAGCGUCCACGGUAGGGUCAAUGACUGGGGUGAAGUCGUAACAAGGUAGCCGUAGGGGAACCUGC